Molecule: ribosomal RNA, 403 nt
Filed under: uncultured bacterium
Lineage: Bacteria
Description: bacterial SSU rRNA
Rfam family: Bacterial small subunit ribosomal RNA
Source: RNAcentral
UCGAGAAUCAUUCACAAUGGGGGAAACCCUGAUGGUGCGACGCCGCGUGGGGGAUAAGGUCUUCGGAUUGUAAACCCCUGUCAUGUGGGACAUUAAAAGAUAGUACCACAAGAGGAAGAGACGGCUAACUCUGUGCCAGCAGCCGCGGUAAUACAGAGGUCUCAAGCGUUGUUCGGAAUCACUGGGCGUAAAGCGUGCGUAGGCGGUUUCGUAAGUCGUGUGUGAAAGGCGGGGGCUCAACCCCCGGACUGCACAUGAUACUGCGAGACUAGAGUAAUGGAGGGGGAACCGGAAUUCUCGGUGUAGCAGUGAAAUGCGUAGAUAUCGAGAGGAACACUCGUGGCGAAGGCGGGUUCCUGGACAUUAACUGACGCUGAGGCACGAAGGCCAGGGGAGCGAAAGG